AUUCAGUGGUGGACAUGCUCAAGCAGGGUGCGCCCAGGCCUGGGACUAGGAGAGUAGGUUGGAGUCCCAGCUCUUCUAACUUGCUGUGUGUGUCUGACAAACUCUUCUCUGAGCCUGAAUCUCAAAGAGGAAGACACAUCCUUACUCAGCAAUUUGAAACUGGGGUGAUGUGCAUGAAUUAACAUGGAGAGAUCCCCAAGACAUUCUUUCAGAAUCGCAGAGUACAUUCCUUUUUAAAAUAAUAACAUGGUUUUGUGUUUACCUCUACAUGUAUGUAAAUGCGUAGAUAAAAGUCUGGAAGCUAAACAGCCAACAAGAAGCAGAGGUUGUCACUGAAGAGGAAAGGAACAUUGGAAUUGGUGGUGGGGAAGUGUUUUUCUAUGUUUUUUUUUUUCUUUCUUUCUUUUUACUUUAAAUUCUGGGAUACAUUUGCAGAACGUGCAGGUUUGUUGCAUAGGUAUACAUGUGCCGUGGUGGUUUGCUGCACCCAUCAACCUGUCAUCUAGGUUUUAAGCCCCACAUGCAUUAGGUAUUUGUCCUAAUGCUCUCCCUCCCCUUUCCCCCCAUCCCCCAACAGGCCCUGGUGUGUGAUGUUUCUCUCGCUGUUUUUUUCUUUCUUAACUAGAAUGCAUUGUUUUUAUUUAUGGAACUAAAAUAAUGAUAAUAAAUGAGGGAAUUGGAAUAUAUGGUUAUCAAGUGUUGCUCCUUCUGAACAUUUUAUUAUGAAAAUGUCCAAAUACACAGCAAAAUUUAAAGACUUUGGCGACAAAAUACCUACUCUCACCACUUACAUUCUACCAUUGACAUUUUACUUGCUUUAACCAUGUUUGUUCAUCUAUCUGUCUAUCAAUUCAUCUUUUAAGAUGCAUUUUAAAGAAAUUACCUCAACACACAUAUUAUUAACUGGAGUUCAAUUUCAAUAUUUGUUUACAGUAAUUUUCUUUUAAUGUAAAUUUACAGGCAAAGGGCAAAAGAUUACGUGUUCAUUUGCUGAGUUUUUACAAAUGCAUAUAUAUUUAUGUAACUUAAACCCCAUUAGGAGAUACAUUUUUAUCACUCUAGAAAGUUCCCUCUUGUCCUACUAUAUAUAUAUAUAUAUACACACACACAUUUUUGUUUUUGAGAGCAGGUCUCGCUAUGCUGCCCAGGCUGGCCUUGAACUCCUGAUUUCAGGUGAUCCUCCCACCCCAGCCUCCCAAGUAGCUGGGACUACAGGCCUCUAUGGUGUAUUUUAAUUGCUGACAUCCUAUGGGUCAACACUAAGCACAGAGCCAGGUAUAUAGUAAAUGCUCAAUAAUGUUGGUUGAAGUAAGGAAUGAGUCUAGGAAUGAAUGUGCAGGUGGCUUGCUCCCCUAAGGGCAGGACCAUGUCUUCUUCUUUUGCAAUCACCAUGGAAUUGAUACACAUCAAAUGCUUAAUAAAGGCUUAUUGAUUGUGCCUGGGCAGGGUGGCUCACACCUGUAAUCCUAGCACUUUGGGAGUCUGAGGUGGGAGGAUUGCUUGAGCCCAGGAGUUUGAGACCGACCUACACAACAAAGUGAGACCCCAUCUGUACAAAAAUAAUAAUAAUAAUUUAAAAAUUAGCCAAGCAUGGUGAUGCAUGCCUAUUGUCCCAUCUACAUGGGUGGCUAAGGCAGGAGGAUUGCUUGAGCCCAGGAGGUCGAGGUAACAGUGAGUUGUGUUCACCCCAUUGCACUCCAGCCUGGAUGACAGCACGAGAUGGUCUCAAAAACAAAAACAAAACAACAACAAUGACAAAAAAACAAAACAACAACAAACAAAAACAAAAACAAACCUUUGGUGAUUGUAUUAGUUAUAUACUGCCGUGUAACAGAUUACCCAAAAUUUAGCAACUUAAAACUGUGUAAUUAUACAGAAGAAGCAGGAUUGAGAUUUAAAAAAUUGUAACUAUUAAAAAAAAUAAAGACAGGGUCUCACUAUGUCGCCCAGGCUGGUCGGGAACUCCUGGCCUCAGGCAAUCCUCCCACCUUAGCCUCGCAAACUGCUGGGAUUACAAGUGUGAGCCACUGCACCUGGCCAACAUUUAUUAUCUCACACAGUUUCUGUAGGUCAGAAAUGUGGAACUAACUUAGCUUAGUGGUUUUGGCUUGGGAUCUCUUAUGAGGCUGCAGUCAACGCCUGAUGAGAAGUCAUCUGAAGGCUGGACUGGGGCUGGGGGAUCUGUUUCCAAGAUAGUUCACUCAUAUGAUUGUUGGCAGGAGGCUCUGUGCUUGGUGCUGUGCUGAGCUCCAGGGAAUGUAGGAAUGAGUCAGAACCAGCCUCCCUUUCCAAGAUUCUGUGUGUGUGUGUGUGUGUGCGUGUGUGUGUGUGUGUGCAUGUGUGUGUGUGUGUGUAAGCGUGAGUGUUGAGAGUAGGCGUGGGGUUGGAGGGGUCAGACAGAUAUGGAAACAGAUAGUGUCUAUAGAGUUCAGUAAAUACCACAAUACUGGAAUAGUGGUUUUUGAAAAAAUUGCUCUGCUGUAAUUCAUAUUCAUGACAUAACAUUUAGGACACAUCAUGCAGAGAAAGUCUCCUUCCCUCUUUAUUCUAUAGCCACACACUCCUCCAGCUCAGAAGCACAACUAUAACUUGUUUUGUGUACCUUCCAGAACUAUUCUAUACUUAAAAGACAUUUCCCGCCUCCUUAAACAAAAAUACAGCACUAUUCAAAGUGCAUUGUUCUGUACUUUGCUUUUUUUUUUUUUUUUCACUUACUCUAUCUUGGAAAUAAUUCUGUAUCGGUGCACAGAGCUACCUAGUUCUUAUUUAUGGCUGCAUGGUAUUUUAUUGCCUGCAUGAGCCACAGUUCAUUUAACCAGACCCCUAUCACUGAACAUUUGGUUUAUUUCCAAACUCUUGUUAUUAGAGACAAAGCUGCAAUGACUUUCCUUGCACAUUGGUUUCCACUCGUGUGGGUAUAAAUGCCGGAGAAAUUCUUGGCAGUGGAAUUGUUGCAUCAAAGGGCUCCUGCAUCCUGGUAGAUAUUGCUCAGUAGGGUUUAUACCAACUUGCUCUCCCACCAGGAAUGUGUGAGAGUGUCUGUUUCCUCACACCUACACCCACAUAGUGAGUGAUCACACUUUUCCAAACUUUGCCAAUCUCUUAAUUGAAAAAUGGUUGCUCGGUGUUGUGUUAAUUUGCAUUUAUCUUAUGAGUGAGGUUGAACAUCUUGUCACACGUUUUAGAGUCGUUUGUAUUUUCUGUGAACUGUCUGUAUAAAUAAUUUGCCUAUUUUUCUAUUAGGCUGUUGGUCUUAUUUACUUGUAGGUCUUUACACAUCAAACGCACUCCCCCUUUGUCUGCAUGAUAGGCUUUGAAAAUAUUUUUUUUGAGAACAGUCUGCUUUUAGAUAUAAAUGAGAAGUUGAGAAGUUUCUGCAGAUUGCAUCAUUUUCUGCACGUUGCUGCAGGGCUGCCCAGUGGCUGAGGCAUCAGGGAUACCGUGUAGGGCUCUUAAAGGUGAUGUUAGAAGCCAGGUGGGGGGCCCUGGGGACGGCGGGCAGGGAGUGGGGGGACAAGGAGGUGGAUGUUAGCUCUUGCAUUGGAUAGAAGGGGCUGCCAUAGGAGACAGUGAACUCCCCAAGGUAGGAAGUGGGCAGAACAGGCUGGCCUGGCUUUAAGACCCCUCUGCCCCUGCUCUGAAAUACCUGAGGAUAAGCAACAAGUCAAGUGGGAGGACCCACCAAGAGGGCCAUCAAUUUCUGGCCAUUUAGACCUGAUUGGGUCGUUACUGCAUCUGGAAGCUCCUAGUAACAUUUAAUAGUAAUAUAAACUCCUAGAAUGUAAACUCCAAGAGGCCAGGGUUUAAAUGCUAAAUAAAUGGUUGUGGAAUGAAUGAAUGAAUGAACGAAUGAAUUUGGUCAAAGAAUGUGAGGGGCUACUAUUUCUGAGUGGGGGUGGGGGUAGGCAGAGUUCUCUUUCUCUUCUUUCCUCUUUGAACCUACUCUCUCCUCUUCCUUCCUCUUACCCCAGCUCAGUCAGGUCUUACCAUCUCUCAUGUGGUCCUGGUUCCAGCCUCCUCCCCACUUCCCUGCUUCCAGACGCUCCUCUGUUUUCCUAUUGAUCCUCCUCUCCAGCAGCUUGAUUCGCUUCAAGAAAAUGCAGGUCCCCUGGCUUGUUCCCAGGUGGGGCACCUUUGUUCACGCCUGUAAUCUCAGCACUUUGGGAGGCUCAGGCGGGUGGAUCCCUUGAGCUCAGGAGUUCAAGACCAUCCUGGGCAACAUAAAGAGAGCACGUCUCUACAAAAAAAAUUUAGAAAUAGCCAGGCCUGGUGGCGCACACCUGUAAUUCUGCUACUUUGAAGGCUGAGAAUGGCUUGAGCCCAGGAGCUGGAGGCUGCAGUGAGCUUUGAUUGUUCCACUGCACUCCAGCUGGGUGACAGAGUGAGAACCCGCCUCAAACAACGAUAACAAAAACAACAAUAACAACAACAAACAUUAGAUAGCCUCCCAUUGCCUAUGCUUCCUAGCCUGCCCUUCAAGGGCUUCUAAUCUAUCCACUUCUCUGGUUUCCUCUCCUGCAACUCCUACCCACCCACCUCGUCCCCCACCUCACACACUCCGUGUUCCUCCAGCUAUCACAAUGGUCACUAAUUGAGCACUUUCUACAUAUACUUUUACGUGAAAUAUCUUAAGACUCAUGACAAUCUAUGGGAUCUACGAGGGUGAGGCUAUUAUCAACCCCACUUUACAGAUGAGGAAACCAAGACCCAGGGACAUUUUAGGGGCUUUCCCAAGGUCACCGAACAAGCAGAUGGCAGAGCUCGGAUUAAAAACCCUCCGACCCUCUGGCCAGGGAGCCUAAGUGCUGCACGAGUGCUAACCGGUUGCCAGUCCUAGAGCACGCCAUGCUCCUUCAAGCUCCCCUGCCUUUGCUUGUGCUGGGUCCCCAUCUGGAGGGCUCUCUCUUCUAUUGUUCACCCACCAAAAACCUUGUCCUUCAAGCUCUCGCUCAUGGCUCACCUCCCCUGUGAAACCUUUUCCAGCUUCCCCAGAAAGAGCUGGUGUCUCACUCUUUGACUUUACAAUUGAGAACUUUGUGCUAUGAUUAUCUGGGAACUGUUUUCCCCAUCAGUGUGCCCCUCAGUGGGCAGACUGUGCUGUAUCUCCCUCUAGUGUCUUGUGCAAUGCCUGGCACAGAGCAAGUGCCCUCUAAAUGCUUGGCGGCUGAAUGACAGUGGCCCCAGGACUCCUGCUCCUGAGCACAUAGUUGGGAAGGACUGCUGGGAGCUGCCAGUGGAAGUGGGGAGUGGGUAGGAAGUUUCAGGGCCCCACCUUGGGAGAGGCGUCCAUCUACGGCAGCUGGAGACAAUUUUACCACUCACGUUUGGGCCAAGACCGUCCCCAGGGGAUCCAGCUGGUGGGGAAGUUCCAUACUUGCACUACCCCUAGAAGUCCUUGGGAACCAGCUAUCCCACCCCUAGGGGGUUUUCCCCUCUUGUGAUGUCAGGAACUGAACCAACAAGGGAAGCAAUUCCUGGCAGGGUCUCUGGAUGCUACAGGAGGAAGUGUGGCCAGAGUCUCCAGACUCAGUGCCUGGGUUGCCCCAGACAGUGCCCUUUGGACCCCAGGAACUAAGGGGUUACAUGGCUUUGGUAAGAGGGUAGUUCCGGAGCGGGUGGGGACUUCCUUGGGGUGUGAGGGAAAUUACCCCAUCCCUGGAGCUGUGGGGUAAGAACUGUCUGUCCCAGUGCCUCUCAGCAGCCCUGUCACUGUGCUGUGGCUAGGAUUUUCGGCAGUUUUUGAGCUUUUCUUGGAAAGCCCCAAGGCCUUUAAGAGAGACUCCUAUAUCUUUGGCCCCUGUCCCUACCCAACCAACUGUUCCCUCUCCGGCUGCCUUGCUCAGGAACUUACUAAGGCUCCCUGUAGCCUCAGGUCGGAAUGCCUCAGGCUACGGCCACUACAUCCCAAAGUCUCAGAGACAGGACAGUAGAGAGGCUAGGGACAUGGGCUCUGGGUUAGCCAGACAUGAGUCCAAAGCCCAGCUCACUGUGUGACCUUGGGGUAUUCACUUCACCUCUUGAACUCCAGUUCCUUCAUCCAGAAAAUGAAAAUAAAUAAAAUCGACAACCUCAAAAUUAAGGAAUUUGCUCAAUAGAACAAGUUUGCCCAAUGGAAGCCAUCACAAAUCAGUUGUUCUCAGAGCGGUCCCUGGACCAUCAGCAUCACCUGGGUACUUGUUAGAAAUGCAAAUUAUUGGCCAGGCACGAUGGCUCAUGCCUGUAAUCCCAGCACUUUGGAUGGCCGAGGAGGGCAGAUACCUGAGGUCAGGAGUUUGAGACCAGCCUGGCCAACAUGGUGAAACCCAAUCUCUACUAAAAAUACAAAAAUUAGACAGGCAUGGUGGCGCAUGCCUGUAAUCCCAGCUACUCAGCAGGCUGAGGCACAGAGGUUGCAGUGAGCUGAGAUUGCGUCACUGCACACCAGCCUGGGUGACAGAGCAAGACUCUGUCCCCCCAAAAAAGAAAAAGCAAAUUUUCAGGCCCUUCCCCUUCUCUUAUGGAGAAUCUCUAGGAGUGGGGCUCAGACAUCUGUGUUUUAGCAAGCCUUCCAGGACAUUCUGAUGCCUGCUGAAGUUUGAGUACUGUCACAGAUAAACUUGACAGAAGGCAAAUAUAUUAGGUGAAUAUACCUGGAACAUCAACAUCCAAAAGGGAUUAAUAUCUAAAAUUUAUAAACUACUCUUGCAAAUCAAUGAGAAAAAGACAGGAAGCCCAGUAGGAAAUGAACAAAAGAUAUGAACAAGGAAGUCACAGAAAGGAAAGCUCAAAUGGCUGACUAGUAUAGAAGGAAGUUAUAAAUUUCAGGAUUAACAGAGAAAUGCAAAUUAAAACAACUUGCCACCUUACACCCACACUGAAUGCAAAGUUACAAAAUCAGAUGAUGAAAAAUCUGAUGAAGAUGUCGGGAAACAGCAUCCUUCACUCACCGUUGGUGAAAGCCAUUCUGGAAGAAGUUAAUGAAAUUCAAAACCUG
This 6973-nucleotide long non-coding RNA is filed under the name Homo sapiens (human). Its description in RNAcentral is "non-protein coding lnc-PDRG1-3:1". Lineage: Eukaryota; Metazoa; Chordata; Mammalia; Primates; Hominidae. The record is from RNAcentral.